RNAcentral lists this long non-coding RNA (202 nucleotides) under Elaeis guineensis (African oil palm). RNAcentral's name for it is "long non-coding RNA (EGUI_LNC048960)". Lineage: Eukaryota; Viridiplantae; Streptophyta; Magnoliopsida; Arecales; Arecaceae. The record is from RNAcentral.
GGAAGAUUAAUUACAAUAAACACCCUAUCACAUCCUAUAUGUGAUUGGCUUGUAGGAUAUUAUUCUUUCAAUCUCCCACUUGCACUUAAAGCCAAUCAUCCCUAUACUUGAUACCCAUGCUAUCAAGAUGGCGGUCAAACUGCUGCAUUGACAAAGCUUUAGUGAAUGGGCCACUAUAUUGUUCUUGAUGUCAACUCGCUCC